UACGAAGGGGGCUAGCGUUGCUCGGAAUUACUGGGCGUCAAGCGCACGUAGGCGGCUUUCUAAGUCGGGGGUGAAAUCCUGGAGCUCAACUCCAGAACUGCCUUCGAUACUGGAAAGCUCGAGUCCGGGAGAGGUGAGUGGAACUGCGAGUGUAGAGGUGAAAUUCGUAGAUAUUCGCAAGAACACCAGUGGCGAAGGCGGCUCACUGGCCCGGUACUGACGCUGAGGUGCGAAAGCGUGGGGAGCGAACAGG
Molecule: ribosomal RNA, 253 nt
Filed under: uncultured bacterium
Lineage: Bacteria
Description: partial 16S ribosomal RNA
Rfam family: Bacterial small subunit ribosomal RNA
Source: RNAcentral